AUGAACGCUGGCGGUAUGCUUAACCCAUGCCAGUCGAACGGACUCUUCGGAGUUAGUGGCGGACGGGUGAGUAACGCGUGAGAAUCUGGCUUUGGGUUCGGGACAACCACUGGAAACGGUGGCUAAUACCGGAUGUGCCGAGAGGUAAAAGAGAAAUUGCCUGAAGAUGAGCUCGCGUCUGAUUAGCUAGUUGGUGAGGUAAAGGCUCACCAAGGCAGCGAUCAGUAGCUGGUCUGAGAGGAUGACCAGCCACACUGGGACUGAGACACGGCCCAGACUCCUACGGGAGGCAGCAGUGGGGAAUGUUCCGCAAUGGGCGAAAGCCUGACGGAGCAAUACCGCGUGAGGGAAGAAGGCUCUUGGGUUGUAAACCUCUUUUCUUAGGGAAGAACAAAAUGACGGUACCUAAGGAAUCAGCAUCGGCUAACUCCGUG
This 434-nucleotide ribosomal RNA is filed under the name uncultured bacterium. Its description in RNAcentral is "partial 16S ribosomal RNA". It matches the Rfam family "Bacterial small subunit ribosomal RNA", at positions 29 to 507 of the family's 1533-position model. The record is from RNAcentral.